RNAcentral lists this ribosomal RNA (468 nucleotides) under uncultured bacterium. RNAcentral describes it as "partial 16S ribosomal RNA". It matches the Rfam family "Bacterial small subunit ribosomal RNA", at positions 28 to 507 of the family's 1533-position model. The record is from RNAcentral.
GACGAACGCUGGCGGCGUGCUUAACACAUGCAAGUCGAACGGAAAGGCCCUGCUUUUGUGGGGUGCUCGAGUGGCGAACUGGUGAGUAACACGUGAGUAACCUGCCCUUGACUUUGGGAUAACUUCAGGAAACUGGGGCUAAUACCGGAUAGGAGCUCCUGCUGCAUGGUGGGGGUGGGAAAGUUUCGGCGGUUGGGGAUGGACUCGGGGCUUAUCAGCUUGUUGGUGGGGUAGUGGCGUACCAAGGCUUUGACGGGUCGCCGGCCUGAGAGGGUGACCGGCGACAUUGGGACUGAGAUACGGCGCAGACUACUACGGGCGGCAGUAGUGGGGAAUAUUGCACAAUGGGCGGAAGCCUGAGGCAGAAACGCCGCGUGUGGGAUGACGGCUUUCGGGUUGUAAACCGGUGUCGCCUGUGACGAAGCGUGAGUGACGGUAAUGGGUAAAGAAGCACCGGCUAACUACGUG